Pelobates cultripes (western spadefoot toad) is the source of this 308-nucleotide non-coding RNA. Lineage: Eukaryota; Metazoa; Chordata; Amphibia; Anura; Pelobatidae. The record is from the annotation of a GenBank genome assembly.
GUGCUGUGAGAGAGUGCUGUGAGUGUUAUGGGUGUGAGAGUGCUGUGUGUGUGAAAGUGCUGUGUGUGAUGGGUGUGAGAGUGCUGUGUGAGAGAGUGCUGUGUGUGUGUGAGAGUGCUCUGUGAGAGUGCUGUGUGUGAUGGGUGUGAGAGUGCUGUGUGUGAUGGGUGUGAGAGUGCUGUGUGAGAGAGAGCUGUGUGUGAUGGGUGUGAGUGCUGUGUGUGAUGGGUGUGAGAGUGCUGUGUGAGAGAGUGCUGUGUGUGAUGGGUGUGAGAGUGCUGUAUAAAUGUUAUUGUGUGUGUAGGGGG